AUUGAACGCUGGCGGCAGGCCUAACACAUGCAAGUCGAGCGGGGUUUUCGGACCUAGCGGCGGACGGGUGAGUAAUGCGUAGGAAGCUGCCCGAUAGAGGGGGAUACCAGUUGGAAACGACUGUUAAUACCGUAUAAUGUCUACGGACCAAAGUGUGGGACCUUCGGGCCACAUGCUAUCGGAUGCGCCUACGUGGGAUU
Molecule: ribosomal RNA, 200 nt
Filed under: uncultured bacterium
Lineage: Bacteria
Description: partial 16S ribosomal RNA
Rfam family: Bacterial small subunit ribosomal RNA
Source: RNAcentral